Molecule: ribosomal RNA, 660 nt
Filed under: Triticum aestivum (bread wheat)
Lineage: Eukaryota; Viridiplantae; Streptophyta; Magnoliopsida; Poales; Poaceae
Description: partial small subunit ribosomal RNA
Source: RNAcentral
AUGGAGAAGCUUAAGCUGGGCGACGCCGCCUCCUCCACGCGAAGCAACAUCGAGGCUCAGCAGCCUGAGCACGAACCGGGGCAGCCACCGCAGACGGAGGACGUGGACGAGAUCUUCCGGAAGAUGAAAGAGACGGGGCUGAUACCCAACGCCGUCGCCAUGCUCGACGGCCUCUGCAAGAACGGAUUGGUGCCGGAGGCCAUGAAGCUGUUUGGUCUGAUGCGCGAGAAGGGCGCCAUCCCAGAGGUGGUCAUCUACACCGCUGUUGUCGAGGCCUUCUGCAAAGCAGCCAAGCUGGACGAUGCCGUCAGGAUCUUCAGGAAGAUGCAGGGCAACGGGGUCAUUCCAAAUGCCUUCAGCUACUGGUUGAUUAUACAGGGUCUGUUCAAGGGCGACAGACUGGAUGAGGCGGCUGCUUUCUGUGUGGAGAUGUUCGAGGCUGGGCAUUCCCCGAAUGCUGCAACGUUUGUGGGUUUGGUUGAUGCAGUAUGCAAGAUGAAGGGGGUAGAGGAGGGUGACAAGCUUGUGAGGAGCUUCCAGGAUAGGAACUUUGCCAUUGAUGAGAAGUCCAUCAGGGAACAUUUGGACAAGAAAGGGCCAUUCUCACCGAUUGUUUGGGAGGUAAUCUUUGGGAAGAAAAAAACAAGCCGCCCAUUUUGA